AUUGAACGCUGGCGGCAUGCCUUACACAUGCAAGUCGAACGGCAUCGCGGGAAAGCUUGCUUUCCUGGCGGCGAGUGGCGAACGGGUGAGUAACACAUCGGAACGUACCGGCUAGUGGGGGAUAACCCGUCGAAAGACGGGCUAAUACCGCAUACGCUCUUCGGAGGAAAGCAGGGGACCUUUGGGCCUUGCGCUAGCCGAGCGGCCGAUGUCCGAUUAGCUAGUUGGUAGGGUAAAGGCCUACCAAGGCGACGAUCGGUAGCGGGUCUGAGAGGACGAUCCGCCACACUGGGACUGAGACACGGCCCAGACUCCUACGGGAGGCAGCAGUGGGGAAUCUUGGACAAUGGGGGCAACCCUGAUCCAGCAAUGCCGCGUGGGUGAAGAAGGCCUUCGGGUUGUAAAGCCCUUUCGGCAGGGAAGAAAUCGGCGGGGCGAAUAACCCUGCUGGAUGACGGUACCUGCAGAAGAAGCACCGGCUAACUACGUG
RNAcentral lists this ribosomal RNA (490 nucleotides) under uncultured bacterium. RNAcentral describes it as "partial 16S ribosomal RNA". It matches the Rfam family "Bacterial small subunit ribosomal RNA", at positions 29 to 507 of the family's 1533-position model. The record is from RNAcentral.